This 460-nucleotide ribosomal RNA is filed under the name uncultured bacterium. RNAcentral describes it as "partial 16S ribosomal RNA". It matches the Rfam family "Bacterial small subunit ribosomal RNA", at positions 338 to 795 of the family's 1533-position model. The record is from RNAcentral.
CCUACGGGAGGCAGCAGUGAGGAAUAUUGGUCAAUGGACGAGAGUCUGAACCAGCCAAGUAGCGUGAGGGAUGACUGCCCUAUGGGUUGUAAACUUCUUUUAUAUGGGAAUAAAACGUUCCACGUGUGGGAUUUUGUAUGUACCAUAUGAAUAAGGAUCGGCUAACUCCGUGCCAGCAGCCGCGGUAAUACGGAGGAUCCGAGCGUUAUCCGGAUUUAUUGGGUUUAAAGGGAGCGUAGGUGGAUUGUUAAGUCAGUUGUGAAAGUUUGCGGCUCAACCGUAAAAUUGCAGUUGAAACUGGCAGUCUUGAGUACAGUAGAGGUGGGCGGAAUUCGUGGAGUAGCGGUGAAAUGCUUAGAUAUCACGAAGAACUCCGAUUGCGAAGGCAGUUCACUGGACUGCAACUGACACUGAGGCUCGAAAGUGUGGGUAUCAAACAGGAUUAGAUACCCGAGUAGUC